CCUACGGGUGGCAGCAGUGGGGAAUUUUGGACAAUGGGCGCAAGCCUGAUCCAGCUAUUCCGCGUGUGGGAAGACGGCCUUCGGGUUGUAAACCACUUUUGUAGAGAACGAAAAGUCUAUUGAUAAUACCGAUAGAUGAUGACGGUACUCUAAGAAUAAGCACCGGCUAACUACGUGCCAGCAGCCGCGGUAAUACGUAGGGUGCGAGCGUUAAUCGGAAUUACUGGGCAUAAAGGGUGUGCAGGCGGUUUUGCAAGAUGGAUGUGAAAGCCCCGGGCUUAACCUGGGAAAGCCAUACAUGACUGCAAGACUAGAGUGCGUCAGAGGGGGGUGGAAGUCAAAGUGUAGCAGUGAAAUGCGUAGAUAUUUGGAAGAACACCGAUGGCGAAGGCAGCCCCCUGGGACGCAACUGACGCUCAUACACGAAAGCGUGGGGAGCAAACAGGAUUAGAUACCCGGGUAGUC
RNAcentral lists this ribosomal RNA (465 nucleotides) under uncultured bacterium. RNAcentral's name for it is "partial 16S ribosomal RNA". It matches the Rfam family "Bacterial small subunit ribosomal RNA", at positions 338 to 795 of the family's 1533-position model. The record is from RNAcentral.